GCUGGGCGUGGUGGCGGGCGCCUGUAAUCCCAGCUACUCAGGAGGCUGAGGCAGGAGAAUUGCUUGAACCCAGGAGGCAGAGGUUGCAGUGAGCCGAGAUCGCACCACUGUACUCCAGCCUGGGUGACAGAGCAAGAAUCUGUCUCAA
RNAcentral lists this signal recognition particle RNA (148 nucleotides) under Gorilla gorilla gorilla (western lowland gorilla). RNAcentral's name for it is "Metazoan signal recognition particle RNA". It matches the Rfam family "Metazoan signal recognition particle RNA". Rfam says of the family: The signal recognition particle (SRP) is a universally conserved ribonucleoprotein. The record is from Rfam by way of RNAcentral. Lineage: Eukaryota; Metazoa; Chordata; Mammalia; Primates; Hominidae.